Molecule: unclassified non-coding RNA, 1675 nt
Filed under: Hevea brasiliensis (rubber tree)
Lineage: Eukaryota; Viridiplantae; Streptophyta; Magnoliopsida; Malpighiales; Euphorbiaceae
Source: RNAcentral
GUGAAGGGUGUCCUUUUCGUUCCCAGAUAGAAUGCCAGUAAUAGAACGCAUUAACAGCAUAGUUAUAAAUGCUACACACAGCAUAUUAUCUGGGAACGAAAAGGACACCCUUCACCUUAUUGGCAGCUAACGAAGAGGUGGCAGAUUUCAAGUUGUUACGCUAAAUGGGCACGGACAUGGUGGAAUGGGAAUUUCAACAACUCCUUCAAGCAUUUGUAUAACUUGCUUCAUCACCGGUCGCAGAGAUGGAUCUUCUUGAACGCACCAGAUGGCAACCAUCACAAACCUCUGUAGAUUCUCUCUGUCAUCCAAGGCGUCGGUGUCUUGUCCAACCAGAGUAUCUAAACUCCCUUCACAAUAACAGUCAUAAGCCCAGUCAGUUAAAAUUGCAUUCUCUGUAUUGGUUCCUUCGAUAUCCAUUUCCACACUUCUUCUGCAACAAAUGAUCUCUAGCAGCAGGACUCCGAAGCUGUACACAUCCACUUUCACUGUGAUGGGCAAGUUCCUAAACCAAUCCGGUGCAACGUACCCUUUUGUUCCUCUAAUGGCAGUAAGGGUAUAGCUCUGAUCCAACGACAAAAGCUUUGCCAAUCCGAAGUCACAAAUCCUUGCAUUGUAACAGUCGUCCAGAAGUAUAUUCUGGGGCUUUAUAUCACAGUGGAUAACCUGAGUGUUACAUUCUUCAUGCAAGUAUAGUAGCCCUCUAGCAAUUCCAAAAGCAAUUUGGAUUCUUUUGUUCCAACCGGGUUUCUUGUCGCCAAAAAGAAAGGUCGAUAAAGUUCCAUUGCUCAGGAACUCGUAUACUAGUAAUCGAUGCUCUCCAUCAUCACAAAACCCCAGCAGUCGAACCAGAUUUUUAUGAUGGGUCUGACCGAUCACAUUUAACUCAGUUCUGAAUUCCUUCAUAGCAUCUCUUGUCAAAGUGUCUAACCUCUUUACUGCAACAGGGAUGCUACACCCCACAUUUAUUACUCCUUUGUAUACGAUGCCAAAAGCUCCUCUCCCCAGCUCUUCCUUAAAUCCAUCUGUAGCUUCUUCGAGCUCUUUGAAACCAAAACACCGCAAAUUUGUUUCUACAAAACUAUCCUGCUGCGGAAUUCUUUUGAGUUUCUUUUGACGGAUGAGGAAACAACCCAAACAAAUUGCACUAACCAAUAACAAGUUAGCGAACAUGGAGCAACCCAAAAGUACGGCUCCAACUACUACCCGAUCGUCUCUGUUUUUCUUUUCUUUCUCCAAGAUUUCUGGUCUAAUUCUCGGGACAUCACCUCUCCUAACUUUGAUAAGUGCCUUUCCGUCAAGAUUGGGAUCCACCCUUCCAUUUGAGAGUGGCAGCUUCUUCUUCCAACACAUAUUGCCUGAUCUGAAAAUAGCAACAGCGCACAUACAAUCCUGUAAACAGGAUUGCCUACAGCCAUCUUCAGUAAAAGGCUGCAAGAGGGCAUAAUCCGACGUUGGCCAAUCAGUAUUUAGAAGCACUUCAAAACCAUAUAAAUCUUCCACCGGACCCAUCUCACUUUCUUCACAUCUCUGUGUGAAGUUUGCUUUGCAACCGCCAUACUGAUCAUUUGGAUCAAAUAAAGAAUAUCCGCUCGGGCAUUCACAGGUCGGUCUCUGAUCUUGGACCAGUGUGCAGACACUAUUGAACCCACAGACGCCACUACCAGCGGUUACC